RNAcentral lists this unclassified non-coding RNA (430 nucleotides) under soil metagenome. RNAcentral describes it as "partial contains 5.8S ribosomal RNA, internal transcribed spacer 2, and large subunit ribosomal RNA". The stretch from base 1 to 120 matches the Rfam family "5.8S ribosomal RNA", at positions 35 to 154 of the family's 154-position model. The record is from RNAcentral.
GAUGAAGAACGUAGCGAAAUGCGAUACGUAAUGUGAAUUGCAGAAUUCAGUGAAUCAUCGAAUCUUUGAACGCAUAUUGCGCUCUCUGGUAUUCCGGAGAGCAUGCUUGUUUGAGUAUCAGUAAACACCUCAACUCCCUUUUCUUUUUUGAAAUUGGAGCUGGACUUGAGUGAUCCCAACGCUUUCUUCCAAGAAAGUGGCGGGUUGCUUGAAAUGCAGGUGCAGCUGAACUUUUCUCUGAGCUAUAAGCAUAUCUAUUUAGUCUGCCUAAAAAACAGAUUAUUACCUUUGCUGCAGCUAACAUAAAGGAGACUAGUUCUUGUGCUGACUGAUGCAGGAUUCACAGAGACAGCGUCGGCUGACUUUGUAAACUCGAUCUCAAAUCAAGUAAGACUACCCGCUGAACUUAAGCAUAUCAAUAAGCGGAGGA